Molecule: unclassified non-coding RNA, 297 nt
Filed under: uncultured Tubeufiaceae
Lineage: Eukaryota; Fungi; Ascomycota; Dothideomycetes; Tubeufiales; Tubeufiaceae
Description: sequence contains ITS1
Rfam family: 5.8S ribosomal RNA (bases 1-105)
Source: RNAcentral
GAAAUGCGAUAAGUAAUGUGAAUUGCAGAAUUCAGUGAAUCAUCGAAUCUUUGAACGCACAUUGCGCUCCUUGGUAUUCCGAGGAGCAUGCCUGUUCGAGCGUCAUUUCAAACCUCAAGCUUCUGCUUGGUAUUGGACCUCGUCCGCAAGGACGUGUCCGAAACUCAUAGGCAGUGGUGUCCGUCUCCCAGCGUAGUCAAUUCUAUCCGCUCCGGAGCUCAGGCACCACCCGCCAGAUGACCCCCAAAUCUUCUAUGGUUUGACCUCGGAUCAGGUAGGGAUACCCGCUGAACUUAA